GUGCUCGCUUCGGCAACACAUAUGCUAAAAACUGGAACAAUACAGAGAUUAGCAAGGCCCCUGUGCAAGGAUGACACAUAAAAGCUCUACCCAUGCCUCCAUUCU
This is a small nuclear RNA of Hyaena hyaena (striped hyena), 105 nucleotides long. Lineage: Eukaryota; Metazoa; Chordata; Mammalia; Carnivora; Hyaenidae. The record is from RefSeq and is a predicted model, not a curated record.